This 72-nucleotide transfer RNA is filed under the name Echinostoma caproni. It matches the Rfam family "tRNA". From Rfam's summary of the family: Transfer RNA (tRNA) molecules are approximately 80 nucleotides in length. Their secondary structure includes four short double-helical elements and three loops (D, anti-codon, and T loops). The record is from Rfam by way of RNAcentral. Lineage: Eukaryota; Metazoa; Platyhelminthes; Trematoda; Plagiorchiida; Echinostomatidae.
GAGCUCGUGACGCAACGGUAGUGCGUCUGACUCCAGAUCAGAAGAUCGCGUGUUUGAAUCACGCCGGGCUUA